CCUACUUGAAUAACUCCACUUCAAAUUUCAGGGUAAUCAUGCACGUUUUAGCCUCUUUAUUCUCUCAAGGGCACCAAGAUGGCCUGCACCAUCCUUAGCAGCUGCGGCAUCAUCUCCACCCUCAGCUUUUUCAGUCUCUACUGCCAGAAGAAAGCGACUCCAAAGACAGCAGUUGGAACAUCUUUUUGUGUAAUUUCCACUUUUUCAUCAUCUUCAGAGUCGCUUUCUUCUGGCAGUUCAAUGUCUUCUUGGUUUGCAUUAACCUUCACCGCAUCAGGCCGUGAUUCCACCCCAGCACUCACAAAGCCCACCGUUCUGCCACUAUCUUUAGCUGUAGUAUUAUUGGCCACUGGGGCUAAUUGCCUCUCUAGAGCAACCAUUUCAUCUUCAGGGACCCCAGCCUGUUUCAAUUUGUCUUUUGCCUCGUCAAUAUUUAACCUUUGAUCCUUCUGCAUUAAAUACUCCG
This 466-nucleotide unclassified non-coding RNA is filed under the name Hevea brasiliensis (rubber tree). The record is from RNAcentral. Lineage: Eukaryota; Viridiplantae; Streptophyta; Magnoliopsida; Malpighiales; Euphorbiaceae.